This 386-nucleotide ribosomal RNA is filed under the name uncultured bacterium. RNAcentral's name for it is "bacterial SSU rRNA". It matches the Rfam family "Bacterial small subunit ribosomal RNA", at positions 28 to 416 of the family's 1533-position model. The record is from RNAcentral.
GACGAACGCUGGCGGCGUGCUUAACACAUGCAAGUCGAGCGGUAAGGCCCUUUCGGGGGUACACGAGCGGCGAACGGGUGAGUAACACGUGGGUGACCUGCCCUCAGCCCUGGGAUAAGCCCGGGAAACUGGGUCUAAUACCGGAUAUGACUCCAUGACGCAUGUUGUGGGGUGGAAAGCCUUGUGCGGCUGAGGAUGGGCCCGCGGCCUAUCAGCUUGUUGGUGGGGUGAUGGCCACCAAGGCGACGACGGGUAGCCGGCCUGAGAGGGCGACCGGCCACACUGGGACUGAGAUACGGCCCAGACUCCUACGGGAGGCAGCAGUGGGGAAUCUUGCGCAAUGGGCGAAAGCCUGACGCAGCGACGCCGCGUGAGGGAUGACGGCC